UUAUACAGAAAUUUUAUGUACGACUUGACAAUAACUACUUCCGCUUCACUUCUGUGAAACCAAAGUGAAAGUAAGCAGUUCAAAUCAACAACUUGAAAUUUUUGGAUUUAGAACUAGUACAGAAAGAUACUGGGUUUGAGCAGUAGGCAGUGUUGCGGAUGUUGACUUGCAUUUCUCCAGACUUCCAACAUAUUUGGCCGAAAUUGUUGAUAGGCCUGAUUUAGCGAGAGGACUACGAGCAAAUUUCUGGACAUUAAGACUCCGACUCUGAGACAGAGUUGGACUCAGACUCGGAAUCAUCAACUGGCAUUAAUAUUAUUCCACCAACUCCAAGUUCAAGAAAGAAGUUUUAUCAUUACAAGAAUCAGAUAUUGAAGGCUCUCAAGGGUUGGACACUAACUUCUGAAUCCAGUGAUUAUCUCUCCGACUCCGAUUCUGAAAAACCACCUGCAUGUAGUCCCAAUUAUACUAAAG
Magallana angulata is the source of this 474-nucleotide long non-coding RNA. RefSeq lists it as uncharacterized. Lineage: Eukaryota; Metazoa; Mollusca; Bivalvia; Ostreida; Ostreidae. The record is from RefSeq and is a predicted model, not a curated record. The transcript has 4 exons.